AACCAAGCGUUUUGUCUGUAUUUAAAUGCAUUUAUUGAUAAUUGUCAGGUUUUGAAGAAGGCUUUCUACAGUGGAUACCAAGAUACUGUAUUCUUUCUACAGCAAAACAAUGCUUUGCCAUUGUACCCUCAGAGGAGAAAGGAGUCGGAUGUGUCUGAUGAUUCACUGAGCUCAGAUCACUGGAUGUUAACACAGACUAAUGAGGCUGAAAAAGACGAAUCCCAAAAAGACUCGCCAGAGCAGCCCGAAGACAAGAGCAUCAAUGGAGAUUGCUCAUCUGUGAGUCCAAACCCAGUAAAAGUCCAGGAAGGUACUGUAGUCUCCCGUGUGCAUUUCUGAUGAUGGAUGAAUGAUUAUAGAAGAGUAAAACGAGUAUUUUCUUUUCUAGUGCUGCUGUGUAACAUCAUGAGUCAGCUGGAGAUCAUCGGUAAUUCUAAAAUCUCUCUGCUUCAGAGGCUGCUCUCCUAUGUGCUCUUACUGUUCACAUUGCCAAUCUGGAGUAUCACCAACUUAUGGGACAGGUACCAGAAUUGGCUCUCCGAUGCUGCAGUUGUGUCGUACUGGCUCUGGCAUAGCUUGAAAGUAUUUAUGAUGUUUGUACUGAACAUCUAUUUUUCCACUUUGAGGAAAGCCCUUGGAGACAUGUAAGCACAGACACCCCAAAGUAUUAACAUUUGCAUUAUAAUUACAGUACAGAAAUACAAUAACGGUUACUUUUUCAUCAGUCUGAUCAAAUUUCUACCUGAGCAAGUUCACGAUGAGCACCGAAGGUCCAGAGAGAAGGCUGAGAGACAUGAGGUCUCCUCCAACAUGAAUGGAGAGGCCUCUUCUAUUGUCCUGGGGAGUGUCUCUAUGGCUCAGACCCUGCCAAAACUCUACGCAGUCCUGUUUUUACUAGAGGCAGAGAGCAAAUGGAGAAAACGCAAGAUAGAGGUGCAACACACACUACAGCAACAAGUGGCUGCAAAAAAAACGAGUUAAAACUGUGCAAGAAAUGUGAAAGCAUUGAUUUUUUUUAAAAGCUAAAUACUGAAUUCGUAUUCAAAUAUGUACUAACAUUUGAAACAAUGCUCUAGAUCAGGGGUCCUCAACCACCAGAUCACAGCUCAGUACUGGGUUGUGAAAGGGUCACACCAUUGCUCUACAGUCCCUGACAAAACUUUUGUCGCUUAACUAUUUUGUUGAAACACCUGCUAUUAACCUGACUUUUAAUCAAUGGGUGUUAGAAAUAGCUCAAGUGAAAAGCUAAAAGCCUCCCAAAUGAUGUUUAAAGCAUUGAAAUAAAUUAGUUUCACCUAAAAAAGAUGUAUCAUUUAAAUAAGACUAAAAAGUCAAAUUUUGGUGCGAGAAAAGUUUAAACAAAUUUACUGCAAAUACAAAAAUACGUCAGCAAAUUAAGUAGUGGUGCUAUGAGAUCCAAGUUUAAUGUCUUGUAUGACUUCCAUGAGCUUGAAUGACUGCUUCCAUGCGGUUUGCCAAGGAUUCAUACAUUUAUUUAUUGACAAAGGCAGUCGUCUUGCAUGCCUCCCAGAGUUCAUUACUAUUUGGUUUCGUUUUCCAUGCUUCCUCUUUCUUCCUACCCCACGUUUUCUCAAUCAUGUUCAUGUCAGGUGACUGGGCUGGCCAAUCCUGGAGCAUCUAGCAUCUUAGUGUUUAAGUUCAGUUCAGUUUAGCUCAGUUUAGUGUGGUGUAAAAUCAUUACUGAGAGCCUAAACACUGAAGAGCAAAUUCAUCGAUGAGUAGCUCUACCAAUCCCAAACCAAGCAAGCUAGAGGCGACAGGGGAGAGGGAAAAAAACAUCACUGAUUGGCGAAACCAGAAUCAGUUGGGCAUGACCAUUUUAAUUUCCCCACUGGCCAAACGUCUUGUGCAGAGCUGCAGUCUCAGCGGUGGAGUUAAUAAAAAAAUGGUCUAAUCAACAUGAGUUCAAAAAAUGUUGGUCAACAUGUUCUGUAGAUCAUGUGAUUACAUUUUGGUGAAAAUCAAUCAAAUGGCCUAGGACUUAGGAACAUAGAAAUAGCACAAAAUAAAUAAAUAAAUCAUGAAAGAAAAUGACGUCAUAGGGUGAAUUUUGAAUCGGCCUGAGCCCAGGAAUCAGGAAAAAAUCAUUUUGAUUGUAGCUCUUUUGGUUCAAAAGUUUUAAUAAUAAACAUAAGUGAAAUUUUGAACAAGUGCUGGUGCUAGAAAGUUUGCGUUAGAGAGUUCGGUAGCACAUUAUAUUAACUACACACUAUGAAUCAUUUACUAAGCAUUAACUUUUAGUAAAUUCAUAAUUUGUUAAUCAUUAACUCUAUAUUAAUAAACUAGUAAGCAGUUUAUAACUGCAGCUACAAAUGCUCUAUUCUUGACUUAUAAGCACCUAUAUAAUGUGCUUAAUAAUUGUAUUUUCAUACUUAGUUAUUGAUUUAUUUUCAUUACUAAAUUAAGUAUUGCAUUAUUUACAAACCAGUUGUAUUUAGGAAUAGUUGAGGGUUUUUAGGAUCAUUCAGAAUGAGUUAGUAAAUGAUUAAUAAACUAUUGAAAUCAACAUGUAUAUGUCUUAUUAUUCAGGCAUAUACUAAUAGUCAACUAAUAUGUUAAUGAAUGCUGUAUUAACUCAACUUCAUGUGGUUUUGUGACCCAAUCUAAAGUGAGGACUGAUUAUGCUUUAUAAAUCCCUUAUAAAUGACUUUUAAAGGCUCAGAAUCAAAUGAACAACAACAUUUGCAAUCUUUUUUAAAAAGUAAAAUGAAUGUAAAGUUUAAACGUUGCUGAAUAACAGAAGUGUCAAAAUACGACACAAAACUGGAAAAAAACAACAAUAUAAUAAUUUAACAAUGUAAUAAAAUGUAAUGUUUAAACUCUGCAGUGAUUUUAUUUUAGAUAAGGCUGCAAAGAUUUAUUUUUCGUUUGAAGUACAGUUUCAUUUGUGUAUCUUGAAUUGAAUAGGAAUGAAUAAUGUCAUUUUCCCUGUUUAGAAUUUAACUGAGCCUUUAUUUGUCAUUUAUAAAGGAUUUAUAAAGCAUGAAUAGUCCUCACUUUAGAUCAGGUCACAAAAUUAGAUGAAGUUGAGUUAAUAAAGCAUUUAUUAACAUACAUAGUAACCAUUAAUAUAUGCCUGAAUAAUAAGACAUAUAAAUGUUGAUUUCAAUAGUUUAUUAAUCAUUUACUAACUCAUUCUGAAUGAUCCUAAAAACCCUCAACUGCUCUUAAAUACAAAUGGUUUGUAAAAAAUCCAAUACUCAAUUUAGUAAUGAAAAAUAAAUCAUUAACACAGUUUGAAAGUACAAUUAUUAAGCACAUUUUAAAUAUGUUUGUAAGUCAAGAACAGAGAAUUUGUAGCUGCAGUUAUAAACUGCUUACUAACGUUUAAUAAUGUAGAGUUAAUGCUUAACAUUUAAUGAAUUCACUAUUUGCUAAUGCUUAAUAAAUGAUUUAUAGUGUGUAGCUAUUAUAAAGUGUUAUCGAGAGUUCAAAUGUGUUGUGGUUGAAGAUCAGACUGUCGUCUAUCAGUGUGACAAAGUUUGCGCAAACGGUUCAUAGGGCUCCCAUAGACUCCCAGAGCAGAAGAAGAAGAGAAUGAAGCUGGAAUAAAAUAAUAAGAAGAACCAGAAUGCACGUUUGGUGCUUGCCCCCUAAAAAUCACCAUAUAGUUUUGUGUAUGUGUACGCCUUCAGGGACUAGCGGGACAGGAGCUGUUUUCAGCGUCAAUUGCAAUCGAGAGUAAUUUUGCUUUAGCAUUGUUACAAAAAUAAUAUAUAUAAUUUUGUUGUCUGCUUAAUAUAAUUUUCUAACAAAAGAAAACAUGAAAUCUGUCUGUGCUUGCAGACAUGGAUCUGUGUUAUUGCCUUUUAAAUAAAUAUUCAAACUGCUUAAAGUAA
Molecule: long non-coding RNA, 3860 nt
Organism: Danio rerio (zebrafish)
Lineage: Eukaryota; Metazoa; Chordata; Actinopteri; Cypriniformes; Danionidae
Source: Ensembl